This 465-nucleotide ribosomal RNA is filed under the name uncultured Klebsiella sp. RNAcentral describes it as "bacterial SSU rRNA". It matches the Rfam family "Bacterial small subunit ribosomal RNA", at positions 338 to 795 of the family's 1533-position model. The record is from RNAcentral. Lineage: Bacteria; Pseudomonadati; Pseudomonadota; Gammaproteobacteria; Enterobacterales; Enterobacteriaceae.
CCUACGGGGGGCUGCAGUGGGGAAUAUUGCACAAUGGGCGCAAGCCUGAUGCAGCCAUGCCGCGUGUGUGAAGAAGGCCUUCGGGUUGUAAAGCACUUUCAGCGGGGAGGAAGGCGGUGAGGUUAAUAACCUCAUCGAUUGACGUUACCCGCAGAAGAAGCACCGGCUAACUCCGUGCCAGCAGCCGCGGUAAUACGGAGGGUGCAAGCGUUAAUCGGAAUUACUGGGCGUAAAGCGCACGCAGGCGGUCUGUCAAGUCGGAUGUGAAAUCCCCGGGCUCAACCUGGGAACUGCAUUCGAAACUGGCAGGCUAGAGUCUUGUAGAGGGGGGUAGAAUUCCAGGUGUAGCGGUGAGAUGCGUAGAGAUCUGGAGGAAUACCGGUGGCGAAGGCGGCCCCCUGGACAAAGACUGACGCUCAGGUGCGAAAGCGUGGGGAGCAAACAGGAUUAGAUACCCGAGUAGUC